UACAGAGGUCCCAAGCGUUGUUCGGAAUCAUUGGGCGUAAAGCGCGUGUAGGCGGCUUGGCAAGUCAGUUGUGAAAGCCCGGGGCCCAACCCCGGAACUGCAUCUGAAACUGCCUGGCUAGAGUCCCGGAGAGGAAGGCAGAAUUCACGGUGUAGGGGUGAAAUCCGUAGAUAUCGGGAGGAAUACCAGCGGCGAAGGCGGCCUUCUGGACGGUGACUGACGCUGAGACGCGAAAGCGUGGGGAGCAAACAGG
This 253-nucleotide ribosomal RNA is filed under the name uncultured bacterium. RNAcentral's name for it is "partial 16S ribosomal RNA". It matches the Rfam family "Bacterial small subunit ribosomal RNA", at positions 524 to 776 of the family's 1533-position model. The record is from RNAcentral.